This 1328-nucleotide long non-coding RNA is filed under the name Homo sapiens (human). RNAcentral describes it as "HSALNT0305433". The record is from RNAcentral. Lineage: Eukaryota; Metazoa; Chordata; Mammalia; Primates; Hominidae.
AGCAAGCCACCCGCCUUGGCCUCCCAAAGUGCUGGGAUUACAGGCAUGAGCCACGCGCCUGGCUGGUUCUCUACUUUUAAGGACUCGUGUGAUUAGAUUGGACCCACCUGAACAACCCCGAGUAGUCCCCCCAUCUCAAAGUCUUUAACUGAGUCACAUCUGGAAAGGCCCUUUUGUUUGCCAUGUAAGGUCACCUAUUCACUAGUUCUGGGCAUUAGAAAGUGGACAUCUUUAGGAGGCCGCUAGCUUGCCACCCACAGGCAGAUUAGGCCAUGUGAUUUGCUGACCCUCUGCAGAUGUUACACUGAGGCAGUAAACCUUUUCCAGGUGACUCAUACCACCUGUGCACAUCAGGAGACAGUCAUGUGAACUACAGCUGUUGCCAGUGCCAGCUGGGCAUUGUGCAAAGCAGGACUUGAAUGUGUCCAUCACAUGCACUCUGUGGUCGAGCCAUCAGAUGCCCUGAGUAAUUAAUGUUCACAUGGCUUUGUGAAAUACAACUAUGUAGGCUAGCUCGUCAAGUGUUUUUACAAGAGCUGACGCCAGUGGAACCCACUCAGCUUGCUUUUCCUGUUCCAGCUUUUUCACGCACAGUCAGGACCCCCCUGGAACUUCAUCUACUGCCAGCUCCCCCAUUCCCCUCCCACGAGUGUGGGUGGCCCUCUUAGCCUCUGACCGCAUACUGGAACCUGCGGAGGCAGUGUUACCAGACCUGAGGUCUUCCUCUGCAUUUCAUUUGCUGUUCCCUGGCCUGCAAUGCCCCUUCCUUCCCACCUCCCCCGAGGGCCUAGCAGCCCCUCCUACACAGCCCUCUAGCCCCUCUGUGCUCAAAGUGCAUCUGAGGACAUCACCUGAGAGCUGUAGGAGAUGCAGGAUCUCAGGCCCCACCCCAAACCUACUGAAGCCAAAUCUGCUGUUUAACGUGAUCCCUGGAGAUUCAUAAGCAUGUUGUCUGUGCAGCACGGAGUGAGGGGCGGCUCCUCUUCGCUGCACCCCUUCCUGAUUACCCCUAGGCCCAGCCAAAUAAACUCUUCUUCCUGCUCCCUUGUGCCCCAUUUGGACUUCACUCGUAACAAGGGAGUAUAACUGGAUGGUAAAAGGGACUUUUCCUGUUAUCUAGACAUUUCAGCAGAGGCCUCAAAGGCAGAACAAAAUAGUGCAAGGAGCCGCACAUCCGCACAGUGCUGAGACCCUGCCCAGGACAAGCUUGGCCGCAGUAUUCCCUUUGGCACCCCCACCCACCUGGAACAAAGCCUGAUGUAAAGUCUGGGUGCGACUCAGACCGGCCUGGGAAAGAAUUUAUUUAAUAAAUGGUGGAAAGUGGCUUC